AGGUGGAACAAAGCCACUGUUCGCAAGGCGCGAGCUGGGCACUUCCACAUGGACGGGUCCAACUCCCACACCCCAACCUGCAGGAGCAACUUGGGGCCCAGGAGGCCCAGAGACGUUGAGGAACCUGUCCGAAGCUGCUCAGCAGAGCCCAGUCCUCAGGCUCCUGGAUCUCUGUCUCCAAGGCCUGUGCUAUGCGUCCUCGCCUGGGACUCCGGGGAACUCUUCCCAGGUGGGUGUAACAAGCUGGGGCUCAGAGUCAGAUGGACCUAAGUCCUAAUUCCAGCUUCGCUCUGUGUCAUCAUAGCAGUUAUUUCUGAUUUCAGCACGCAGGCCCCUCAUCUUGAAAUGGGACUAACAGAAUGAGAACCACCCUGCGGUGGCCGUGCGGAAGGGCCAGUGGAGCACAGCUCUCUGGGCCUGUGGGAAUUGCUCCACACCUCUCCCCACCGGAAAUGACCUCUCUACCCAUUUCACAGACGAGAAAACGAAGAGUCAUGGUUUUGGGUGAAGCAAGAAUUUAGCAGAAAGGCUGGGAUCUGAGGCACCAGAGAGGAGGCAGAGCUCCGCCGAGGGGUUCCUAAGCCUACCCCAGCAGGACCACCUGCUUCCCCGGUCUGGACCUGCUUGUCUCACAGCAUCACACAAUAACAGCCGUAUUCUUAGACCCCGAGAGUGACCGACCGCCUGUCACAGCUGAGCCGCACAAGGGCUGAGGCGCAGAGAACGCUAGAAUCAGACAACCGCCGAGUGGAGAAUCCUGGGAUCUAAGCACUUGGAAGUCUGCAGUAGGGGCUCAUCGAAUCUCGGAAAACAUGAGAACUUUGGGGCCACAGGAUUUCAGAAUCACGGGAAGCACUCCUCGGGGCCCGCUGCGCGAGGUUGCGAUACCCCACCCCUGUAUCGCCGCCAUCUUUCUUUCGCGAAUAUUCAUUGAGCACGUAUUAUGCGCCAAGCUCUGUUCCAGGCCACUUGGGGAUAAAUCCGUAAACUAAGCAGGCAAAAAUUUCCUACCCUCUGGACUUCCCUCACAGAGGGGUCGUGACCACACGUAACGACCGACGUGGCAGGUUAGGACGUGAGUGCUGUGGGACUUGGCCAUAGCUCAGUACCCCUGGUAUGGUCCACUCCAUAGUUUUCUGUAAGUUGGCUCACUUUACACACACAAAUAUUUUUUUAAAUAUAUGUAUAUAUAUAUAUAUAUUUUUUUUUUUUUAAGAGAGAGAGAGCACACGCGCACACGCACGUGAGUGGGGGAGGGGCAGAGAGAGAGGGAGACCCAGAAUCCGAAGCAGACUCCAGGCUCUGAGCAGUCAGCACAGAGCCUGACGCGGGGCUCGAACCCACGGACCGCGAGAUCAUGACCUGAGCCGAAGUCAGACGCUUAAACACCUGAGCCACUGGGGUGCCCCCACAAAUAUUUAUAUAUUUAAAGGAAGUUUCCCAUUGCUGAUAAUAACGGGAACCCAAUAUAAGUGACCACCAACAGAAACACCAUGAAAAUAAAACGCUGUGCUGAGACACCUGACUGGAUGGUGUGCCUCCCCUUCCCUGAGAUCUCGGGAGGCCUGCACCCCCUCUGUUGUGAAAGGCAAUUGGAGGGUAUGGGAGCCGCCGAAGACAGGAAGUUGUAAGGGCAGAAAAUAGUUGAGAAAGCACACGACAAUGUUUAGACAUUCCCUUCAGGCACCACUGAAAUCCUCAGGCCUCGCUCAGCCCACCCCUCUGGGCCACUGAUUAGCUGUGUGACAUCAGGCAUGCCGUGUUACCUCUCUGAGCCUCAGUUUCCCCACCUGGAAACAGGGGCAUGAUGAAUGCACCUUCAUCCCGGUUGGUACAGGGGUGAAUCAAAAGGGCUUCGGGUGAGCUGAAGGCUCAGAGGGGUUAGUAAUCCCUCCCCCUGC
Long non-coding RNA from Neofelis nebulosa (Clouded leopard), 1901 nucleotides. RefSeq lists it as uncharacterized. Lineage: Eukaryota; Metazoa; Chordata; Mammalia; Carnivora; Felidae. The record is from RefSeq and is a predicted model, not a curated record. The transcript has 3 exons.